NNNNNNNNNNNNNNNNNNNNNNNNNNNNNNNNNNNNNNNNNNNNNNNGGGGGGGACACGUCCCCGAGGUGUCACCGCGCCGUUGUCACCCGGGAGUGACGUUGUUCUCCGUCCCAGUGUCCUACGUGUCCCCUGCUUUGCCUUGUUCUGUGCUCCGAGGGUUGACCCUGAAUCCCUUUCUACUGUCCUUACAACGUCCCCAACCCGUGUCCCAUGUCCCCAACCCAUGUUCCAUGUCCUCCUGGUGUCCCCAACCCCUUCCCAUGUCCUCCUGGUGUCCCCAACCCAUGCCCCAUGUCCCCAACCCCUUCCUAAUGUCCUUCCAAAGACCCUAUCCCAUGUCCCCUGUCCCCAACCGAUGUCCCAUGUCCCCAACCCCUUCCCAUGUCCUCCUGGUGUCCCCAACCCGUGUCCCCUGUCCCCAACCCCUUCCCAUGUCCUCCUGGUGUCCCCAACCCAUGUCCCCUGUCCCCAACCCAUGCCCCAUGUCCCCAAUCCAUGUUCCAUGUCCCCAGCCCCUUCCCAAUGUCCUUCCAAAGACCCUAUCCCAUGUCCCCUAUCCCCAACCCAUGCCCCAUGUCCCCAACCCGUGUCCCAUGUCCCCAACCCCUUCCCAUGUCCUCCUGGUGUCCCCAAACCAUGUCCCCUGUCCCCAACCCAUGUCCCAUGUCACCAAUUCCUUCCCAAUGUCCUUCCGGUGUCCCCAACCCACGUCCAUAUCCCCAGCCCUUCCUAAUGUCCUCUGAAAGUCCCUAUCCCAUGUCCCCAACCCACGUCCCCUACUCAUGUUCCAUGUCCCCAACCCCUUCCCAUGUCCUCUUGGUGUCCCCAACCCACGUCGCAUGUCCCCAACCCGUGUCCCAUGCCCCCAACCCCUUCCCAAUGCCCUUCCAAUGCCCCCAACCCAUGUCCCACGUCCCCAACCCCUUCCCAUGUCCUCCCGGUGUCCCCAACCCACGUCCAUGUCCCCAAUUCCCUCCCGGUAUCCCUUUAACGACCCCAGUCCAUCUCCCCAACCACGUCCCAUGUCCCCAGUCCCUUCCUAAUGUCCUCACAACGUCCCCAACCCAGGUCCCAUGUCCCCAACCCUUUCCUAGCGUCCUUCCAACGUCCCCAACCCAUGUCCCCAAUCCCUUUCUAACGCCCUUCCGGUGUCCCCAACCCAUGUCCCAUGUCCCCAACUCCAUGUCCCAUAUCCUCAGUCCCUUCCUAAUGUCCUCACAAUGUCCCCAACCCAUGUCCCACGUCCCCAACCCCUUCCCAUGUCCUCCCAGUGUCCCCAACCCACGUCCAUGUCCCCAGUUCC
Molecule: long non-coding RNA, 1305 nt
Filed under: Numida meleagris (helmeted guineafowl)
Lineage: Eukaryota; Metazoa; Chordata; Aves; Galliformes; Numididae
Description: lncRNA (ENSNMEG00000002567.1)
Source: RNAcentral